Molecule: ribosomal RNA, 274 nt
Filed under: uncultured bacterium
Lineage: Bacteria
Description: partial 16S ribosomal RNA
Rfam family: Bacterial small subunit ribosomal RNA
Source: RNAcentral
AUACGGAGGGUGCGAGCGUUAAUCGGAAUUACUGGGCGUAAAGGGUGCGUAGGCGGCUUGAUAAGUCGGAUGUGAAAGCCCCGGGCUUAACCUGGGAAUUGCAUUCGAUACUGUCAGGCUAGAGUAUGUCAGAGGUUGGCGGAAUUCCUGGUGUAGCGGUGAAAUGCGUAGAUAUCAGGAGGAACACCAGUGGCGAAGGCGGCUAACUGGGGCAAUACUGACGCUGAGGCACGAAAGCGUGGGGAGCAAACAGAAUUAGAAACCCUAGUAGUCC